RNAcentral lists this ribosomal RNA (496 nucleotides) under Kocuria rosea subsp. polaris. RNAcentral's name for it is "bacterial SSU rRNA". It matches the Rfam family "Bacterial small subunit ribosomal RNA", at positions 373 to 879 of the family's 1533-position model. Lineage: Bacteria; Bacillati; Actinomycetota; Actinomycetes; Micrococcales; Micrococcaceae. The record is from RNAcentral.
GGGCGGAAGCCUGAUGCAGCGACGCCGCGUGAGGGAUGACGGCCUUCGGGUUGUAAACCUCUUUCAGUAGGGAAGAAGCGAGAGUGACGGUACCUGCAGAAGAAGCGCCGGCUAACUACGUGCCAGCAGCCGCGGUAAUACGUAGGGCGCAAGCGUUGUCCGGAAUUAUUGGGCGUAAAGAGCUCGUAGGCGGUUUGUCGCGUCUGCUGUGAAAGCCCGGGGCUCAACCCCGGGUCUGCAGUGGGUACGGGCAGACUAGAGUGCAGUAGGGGAGACUGGAAUUCCUGGUGUAGCGGUGAAAUGCGCAGAUAUCAGGAGGAACACCGAUGGCGAAGGCAGGUCUCUGGGCUGUUACUGACGCUGAGGAGCGAAAGCAUGGGGAGCGAACAGGAUUAGAUACCCUGGUAGUCCAUGCCGUAAACGUUGGGCACUAGGUGUGGGGGACAUUCCACGUUUUCCGCGCCGUAGCUAACGCAUUAAGUGCCCCGCCUGGGGA